UAAGGAGUGUGUAACAACUCACCUGCCGAAGCAACUAGCCCUGAAAAUGGAUGGCGCUCAAGCGUCGCACCUAUACCGUGCCGUCGGGGCAAAUGCCAGGCCCCGACGAGUAGGAGGGCGCGGCGGUCGUGACGCAGCCUCUGGCGCGAGCCUGGGUGAAACGGCCGCCGGUGCAGAUCUUGGUGGUAGUAGCAAAUAUUCAAAUGAGAGCUUUGAAGACCGAAGUGGAGAAAGGUUCCAUGUGAACAGCAGUUGGACAUGGGUUAGUCGAUCCUAAGAGAUAGGGAAAUUCCGUUUUCAAGUGCCCAAUCGCGGGCCGCCUAUCGAAAGGGAAUCGGGUUAAUAUUCCCGAACCGGAACACGGAUAUCGCCACUUCCCGUGGCGACUGCGGUAACGCAAACGAACCCGAUGUCGCCAGUACGGACCCUGGGUAGCGUUCUCUUUUCUUCUUAACGGACUUUCACCCUGAAAUCAGCUUGCCUGGAGAUAGGGUUUGAUGUCCGGUAAAGCACCACACUUCUUGUGGUGUCCGGUGCGUUCGUAACGGCCCUUGAAAAAUCGGGGGAGACAGUGAUUUUCGUGUCCGGUCGUACUCAUAACCGCAGCAGGUCUCCAAGGUGAGCAGCCUCUGGUUGAUAGAACAAUGUGGGCAAGGGAAGUCGGCAAAAUAGAUCCRUAACCUCGGGAAAAGGAUUGGCUCAA
This 703-nucleotide ribosomal RNA is filed under the name Cryptodendrum adhaesivum. RNAcentral's name for it is "eukaryotic LSU rRNA". It matches the Rfam family "Eukaryotic large subunit ribosomal RNA", at positions 1272 to 1957 of the family's 3401-position model. Lineage: Eukaryota; Metazoa; Cnidaria; Anthozoa; Actiniaria; Thalassianthidae. The record is from RNAcentral.